GCCGGGCCGGGCCUUAGUGAAAAAGUUUCGUGUUCGGCCGGGCCGGGCCUCUCAAAAAAGAGUUUGUUUUCGUGCGGGCCCGGGCCUUGAAAUACAGGCCCGCGCCCACCUCUAGUACUGUGUCAAAACGUAAAUGUGUAAAUCAAUCGGUCGACAAUGAAACGAGCUAACCGUAAAAAAACGCGCUCGUAAAAAAGGCAACAACAGAUUCUAAAAGACUUUUAAAUGCCACACAAACCGAAACCAAAAACAAAAAUGAAACGAAAAGAGACAGCAAUCAAGUGUAAUAGAGAGAGAGAGAGAUAGUAAGCAAGAGUCGUGGUAGACAGAAUGGGAAACAAGCCGCACACACUUCCGCUUUCAUUUCAUAAAUUCGGAUUAAGGCAUUUUCAAAUGAUAACAAUGAAAGAACGUAAAAUAAAGAAUGCAGUGUGGAAAUGCGCCGUGAAUCUGAUUAACGGCAAACUACAGCAAAGACAACAACAGAAGCAGCAGCAACAACAACAAUGAAGAUGACAACGAGUCGGAAAUGUGUCACGUAAAUGGUUUGUUUCCCAAGUAAAACCCACAACAUGCCCAAAGAACAAUCAUAAAGACAACGACAACAACAAAAGUAAAGCUCAACAUUUCUGCUGCUGUAGAGAUCUGAAAUGAAAUAACUGAGGCUCCCAUUGUAUAGCAAUUGAGACGUUCGCAGAUACCGUUAGAAUGGAUUUCCUUUCAACGGCAGCUAUUGAUGGAUUUACAAUCUAUCCAUACAAGAAGCAUCACGUUUUGCCAACACUUGCUCAAAAUUUGAGCCAAACGAUGCAAAGAUGAACAAUUGCACAUCCUGCAUAAAUGCAUCCUGUAUUGUUUACAGCACAUGCGCUUAAGCCCAGGACAUGAGGACAUGAGGACAGCAGGUCGUGCUAUGGUCGGGAAUCGGGGGUCGGGGUCACAUCAUCUGUUGCUGCAUAGCAGAAUUUUACGAAUGAUGAGCGGAAACGCAUCGAAGGCGCGUAGUUUGUACACAAACAGAGAAUCAAAUAACACACACAGAUAACGAGAGAAGACUGCGUGUGAGAGAGAGAGGGACAGAGAUGAUUGUAAUGAGCAUCGAUGUUGGCAGCAAACAACAAAGAGAAGGAAAAGGAUGUCCUGGCAGACUGGUUGGCUGGCGAGUGACAGGACAUGUGGCAAAGCAAAGGCAAUUAAAUGCUCAUCCUACGCACUGCGUCCACAACAGUGUGAAAUACAGUGCAGGAAGCUGACGUCGCGCCCCAUUGUGUGAUCACGUCCUCACAAGAAGAGAGGGAAAACCCACUACCUGGGGUACGAGCUCAAAUAUUGCCGGUGAUUAGUGACUUUGCGCCUGGUUCCUGGUUGGUCAGAGGGAUAAAUAGGAAGCAGACCCUGUGGCGUUAAUUGUUUUGCUCAGCUCGUUUGAUUCGUGCCGCUGCAAAGUUAAUCUGGGUCAACGGAAG
Long non-coding RNA from Drosophila nasuta, 1466 nucleotides. RefSeq lists it as uncharacterized. Lineage: Eukaryota; Metazoa; Arthropoda; Insecta; Diptera; Drosophilidae. The transcript is spliced from 3 exons. The record is from RefSeq and is a predicted model, not a curated record.